This is a non-coding RNA of Cricetulus griseus (Chinese hamster), 1024 nucleotides long. The record is from RefSeq and is a predicted model, not a curated record. NCBI's taxonomy places the organism in Eukaryota, Metazoa, Chordata, Mammalia, Rodentia, Cricetidae.
UUCCUCACGCCGGGAAAUGGCCAUCGAGACGCUGCCUUGCCCUCUCCCGGCCCCAGGGGCAUGGCCAGACUAGAGGAGGUCGUGCGAAUGUGUUUAAUGCCUCAGAGAAAGGGCUAACCCGGCGCUCCUCCGCCCCCUUUCAUCCCCACAGUGGGGAAGGCCGGCAGCCAUGUUUCCCAACAAAAUGGCGACACGUGUCGCCAACGAGAAAUUGGGGUGGGUCCGAAAGCUCUAGAACGUGGUGUCUGAUCAUUCUCAAUCCUUCCCCACGUCCGGUCAGGAGGAAAUGGCAGGCCGCUUUUGGGAGUUUGUGGGCAGAAAUCUACGUCCUCCGCCUCCUUUGUUGGGCGUGUGAAUAACUAGAAGGCAGGCCUAACGUUGAGUUUUUUUUUUUUUUUUUUUUUUUCCCUAAAUUGGAUAACGGCCGGCAGGUGUGUUUGCAGCACCUAGCCAAGUACCCAGGCAUCUGUUUUUCUAGACCUUGAACAGGUUGUGGUGUUAAGUGAUUAAAAAUUUUAUAGUUAAGCCAUUAGAAUGCCAGUGACUCAUUCCACUGUCCAGUGACCCGCAAGUUCGCAGUUAUGUCCACUUUGAUAGUCAAGAGGAACCGAUGGUGAUUGUAGAGUAAGACAAACGCAGAGAGAUUAUGGCGAAUGGAAUCCAUAUCCUUCUGAUUUCCUUACUGACCCACAUUCCAUGUUCGGAGGAGCCACCCAUGAAGCUACUGAGAUAAUGGAAAAAUGGAACGGAGAGUCCCCUAUAUCUCACCCAUGAUUCUUCCCAAAUUCAAGUGACUACAGGUGACAGGUAGGAGACAUGGUCUGGUAACACCAUGCUUCAGAAUGUGACUGUGGAGCUAGCCUGCUUGACCUUGGGACUGGAGAACAGAGGAACAGAAUUCAAUUUCCAGCAUCCAUAACUAGUGGCUCCAUGGAAUUCAAUGCCUUUUCUUAGCCUCCUCAAGUACCUACACAUAUUUGGUUUACACACACACACACACACACACACACACACACACACAGAG